AUAAGUUACUUAAAAGCAUAAAGUGGAUGCCUCGACUCCAAAUUCCGAUGAAGGACGUAGCUAGCUGCGAUAAGCUUCGGUGAGUUGCUAAGCAAACUUUGACCCGGAGAUUUCCGAAUGGGGAAACCCAUCAGAAGUCAUGUUCUGAAACGGUAUGCUAAAUUAAUAGGCAUAUCGGGGACACCUGGUGAACUGAAACAUCUCAGUAAUCAGGGUAAAAAAAUCAAUAGAGAUUCCCUUAGUAGUGGCGAGCGAACAGGGAUCAGCCUAAACUAUAUUCUACGGAAUAUAGGGUUGUAGGACCUUAAUAUGAGCAAUAUUCCUAUUAGUCAAAUAUCCCUGGAAAGGGUGACCAUAGAGGGUAAUAGUCCCGUCGAUGAAAAUAGGGUAGAGCUCUAGAGUGUUCCUGAGUAAAGUCGGACACGAGUAAUCCGGCUUGAAUCUGGGAGGACCACCUUCCAAGGCUAAAUAAGAUUUGGAGAUCUAUAGUGAACAAGUACCGUGAGGGAAAGGUGAAAAGUACCCUUGUUAAGGGGAUGAAAUAGAACCUGAAACUUUAUGCUUAUAAAGAGUCGGAGCCUGCUUUUGUAGGUGACGGCGUACUUUUUGUAGAACGGGCCAACGAGUUAGCUGUACGGCGCUUGGUUAAAGGAGUGAUACCUGAAGCCACAGUGAAAGCGAGGGUGAAUAACCCGUUUGUGUCGUGCACUAGACCCGAAACUGAGUGAGCUACCUAUGGUUAGGCUGAAGCGACGGUAACACGUCGUGGAGGGCCGCACCAACCUCUGUUGCAAAAGGGGUGGAUAAACUGUGGGUAGGGGUGAAAAGCCAAACGAACUCAGAGAUAGCUGGUUCUCCUCGAAAUAGCUUUAGGGCUAGCCUCAUGUUAAUAGCAGUAGAGGUAGAGCAAUGUUUAGGCUAGGGGGCGAAAUAAGUCUACCAAACCUAGAUAAACUUCAAAUGCUACUGUGAAUUUCAUGGGAGUCAGACUAUGACAGCUAAGUGCCAUAGUCGAAAGGGAAACAGCCCAGAUCGCCAUCUAAGGUCCCUGAUAAAGCUUAAGUGGUAAAGGAUGUGAGAUCGUUUAGACAGCCAGGAGGUUGGCUUAGAAGCAGCCAUUCCUUUAAAGAGUGCGUAACAGCU
This 1143-nucleotide ribosomal RNA is filed under the name Candidatus Peregrinibacteria bacterium. RNAcentral's name for it is "partial 23S ribosomal RNA". It matches the Rfam family "Bacterial large subunit ribosomal RNA", at positions 1 to 1142 of the family's 2925-position model. Lineage: Bacteria; Candidatus Peregrinibacteriota. The record is from RNAcentral.